UACGGCGGGAGCUAGCGUUGUUCGGAAUUACUGGGCGUAAAGCGCACGUAGGCGGCUAUUCAAGUCGGGGGUGAAAGCCCGGGGCUCAACCCCGGAACUGCCCUCGAAACUAGGUAGCUAGAAUCUUGGAGAGGUCAGUGGAAUUCCGAGUGUAGAGGUGAAAUUCGUAGAUAUUCGGAAGAACACCAGUGGCGAAGGCGACUGACUGGACAAGUAUUGACGCUGAGGUGCGAAAGCGUGGGGAGCAAACAGG
Molecule: ribosomal RNA, 253 nt
Filed under: uncultured bacterium
Lineage: Bacteria
Description: partial 16S ribosomal RNA
Rfam family: Bacterial small subunit ribosomal RNA
Source: RNAcentral